UGUGAAAUGUAAGAUCUCAAAUUUGACAGUUUCCAUCAUUUACAGUAGCCAACAAGUUUUUAGUGAAAAAAUUUGAAAAUCGAACUGGUGGUGGCGUUACACACUGAGCUUUCGUUUGAUGUGGCCGGUCAUGUGGGCGUAGCAUGGGAUUCAACCCACCUACGAUGGCAUUUUAGUAGGUUACCAAUCGGAGAAAGAGAAAGGAAAUGAGGCGAGAGGGAGAAAAGAGGGAUGAAGAGAAGGCGACACAGCAGGCGGUUUUGUCGGUUGCUAUUCUAUUUUCCUCUGCUGCUGCCUCGCUUUCUCUGUCUCUCGUGCAAAACAAAAUAGAAAUCUAGCCGACGGUUCUUUUUUAUCUCCAAGAACGAACAUGAGAGCGAAUAAAGAAAAGAAAGGAAAGAUUGGAGACGUAGUUACUCGAGAGGGAGAUGGCAAUUUGUGAAGGCCGUUUAAUCUAAAGACAAUGCACACAAGGUUCACAGACAGUUCAUUAUACUAUAAAAUGAAAAUGUUUGCUAUGGAGAUUUGAGCUGCAAUGAAGCCGAGUCUUAUUGAAGCUUGUGAUUUUAUUAUGGAGGAGAGAUUGUCACAAGUUACGGGCAGAAUAAGGCAUGCACAUGAGGCAACUAACUGGAUAGGGAAUGUGGCGUUCUCGAAUGUGUGACAGGUGGUGCUACGUGAAUAGAUUAUUGAUUGGUCGGUGUGCAUCCACGUCUCUCUCUCUCUCUCUCUUCCUUUUUUUUUUUUUGAGCAACAAGGAGGGAAGUCCUUAAUUAGGACCUCAUGAGUAUGUGAGAAACAUCCUGAAUAAGUUAGAGACAUGGAUAGCUUGUAAUGUUGGACAUAUUCUAUUAAUAAUGGAGACAAGGGUGGCCAAACUAUUAGAACUCAACCAGCUGAUAUGAAUCUCCUCCAAUCCAUAAUGUCUACAUAUUUAGGGCUUGCGCCCUGUAGGAGAAAAAAAAAAAAUUGAAAAUCUACAUUUUUUGCUGAAAAUUUUAGAUAGAAAAAUAAUUUAUGAAUGUUCUUUCAUGUAUUGUAAAAUAGUUAAAAAUAUUAUUAUUUUU
Long non-coding RNA from Elaeis guineensis (African oil palm), 1067 nucleotides. RefSeq lists it as uncharacterized. NCBI's taxonomy places the organism in Eukaryota, Viridiplantae, Streptophyta, Magnoliopsida, Arecales, Arecaceae. The record is from RefSeq and is a predicted model, not a curated record.